UACGUAGGGACCAAGCGUUGUCCGGAAUUAUUGGGCGUAAAGAGCUCGUAGGCGGCUGUCCACGUCGGAUGUGAAAGCUCGGGGCUCAACCCUGAGAGGCCAUUCGAUACGGGACGGCUAGAGGUAGGUAGGGGAGAUUGGAAUUCCUGGUGUAGCGGUGAAAUGCGCAGAUAUCAGGAGGAACACCGGUGGCGAAGGCGGAUCUCUGGGAAUAUCCUGACGCUGAGGAGCGAAAGUGUGGGGAGCGAACAGG
This 253-nucleotide ribosomal RNA is filed under the name uncultured bacterium. RNAcentral's name for it is "partial 16S ribosomal RNA". It matches the Rfam family "Bacterial small subunit ribosomal RNA", at positions 524 to 776 of the family's 1533-position model. The record is from RNAcentral.